CAGUUGACCCAGCCCAUGGGUUUCCGCGCGUACCAUGAUGCGCAG
Molecule: small RNA, 45 nt
Filed under: uncultured Symbiodinium
Lineage: Eukaryota; Dinophyceae; Suessiales; Symbiodiniaceae
Description: partial Cyanobacteria transfer-messenger RNA
Source: RNAcentral